This is a small nucleolar RNA of Panicum virgatum (switchgrass), 107 nucleotides long. The record is from RefSeq and is a predicted model, not a curated record. Lineage: Eukaryota; Viridiplantae; Streptophyta; Magnoliopsida; Poales; Poaceae.
AUCCCAUGAUGAGGACAGGAGAGUAUGUAUUCUUGCAAUCUCUCCCAAGCUUCUGGGAUGUAUUUCAUCCCCGUCUGCUGGAAACAUGAAAUUCUUCCAUGUAGGGC